AGUUGAGGGACCUAAAUCAAACUUAUACCAAAGUUAAGGGACCGUAAUUUUACUUUACUCUGGGACGAAAGGAAUAAUACAAAGUAUUUAAUGGAUAGUAAAAUACGUACUGUAUUAAAUAUUGUUUUUUUUUUUUAAAAAAAAAGGAAAAAGAUACGGAUUAAAUGUCUAAACUCAAAGUUGGUCAUACAAAAAACACUUUAUGAGUUUCUCGUUUCUCGUUUGUGUAAGAAGGCUGCAACACCAAUCUAGGAAGCAGUCGCUAGAACCCUUAAAACUACUCCAAAAGUCCAAAUCUUUCCUGUCAAUCAGUCUAUAAUCCUGUGACCUGCAAAUGGCUAGUAUGUAGAGAUCGCCUUUAUUUGACGUGAAACUGUAUAUUCUAAGGGUAGGGACCUGGAGCAAGAUAUUGCUGCAUUUUGCGUAGUUGAUGGUUGAGAAAGAUAGGAUGCCUUGAUAACAUUGAUGUCUAACAAUACCGUAGAAGAGUGAAAUAGUUCACUUCUUCACUGACAUCUAAUUUCACGUCAGAGUGGUAGCCCCGUAAUUAGUCUCAACAAAUUUUACAUACAGAGAAACUGAGUUUAGAAGCAGACAAAGGGUGCUCCAUUUAAAUACAACACAAUCAUAAGACAAUGGAGCCGUUGAUAAGUAGUAACCUUGUUAUCAGUCUCUGCAAGUUUCACAUAUAGAAAUUCUGAGCUGUGGGAAGCAGACGCAAGGGAACCCUACUAAAUACGGGAUAAUAGAGAUACAAUGGACAUUUCUGAUAGUAAUAGUAGCAAAAUCCUCAAUGAUGUCAUGAAUCGCCGGCUGAAGAACAGAGAACGACAGCGUAGAUACAGGGAACGGAAACGUCUCCAAGGAAAUGCCAGGAAUGGGCAUGUCACUGACCAGUCAUCCCAGAUGCAAAUUGUAUCGCUGCCAGAUGCAAAUGGGCCUGACAGGAAUGGGAAUGUGGAACAAGUUGUAACCCGUGUUCAUUGUAGACGAGAUUGGAAAAAGGAUGCGAGGAGAGUCCAUGUUGCCAUACCAGAAGCCAUGUUCAAUGGAUUACUUCCCAAUGGUCAGUCUUUAGCCACUGAAAAUAACACGCCACAUGCUCCUUGGGGAAUGCGGGAAUCAGAACAAGCUCUGAAAAGUGAAGAUUCUUCAGAAAGCUAUCCCCGCUUGUAUGAUAGUGAUAAAAGUAGAAGUAGACCCGGAAGAAGAGAUUGGAAAGCAGAGGCAAGAAAUAAGAAAUAAAUAGAUUCAUUGCAGUAAUUAUCCAAUUUGUUCAGCUGCUUGGUAAUUUCUGAAAGGAAUAGUCUCUCUACAAAUCAGGUCAGUCAAUGGGUGAUCAGAGAAACUUGAUUAUUUGAAUUGGAAAGCCUUUAAAUAGCCAAAAUGACAAGUCUUAUGAUUUAUAGAUAUGAUAUAUGCCAAUCUUGCAUAAUCAACUUAGUAACAAGCUGUUUGUAGGCUGCUCGUCUUUCUUGUACCUGAGCAUUAGUGCUCCUAGCAUCUUUUUAUAGUUAUUUGCUAAAACUCAUUGUAAACAAAGAUUCUUUUAACAUUCUUAUACAUGAUGAAAAUCUUUAUUUUAGGGUUAGCCUGAAAAGUUGUGAUGAAUAUAUCAUACACAUCUUUUUAUUGAAGGCAAUUGACAUGAAAUUGAUGCUUUAGUAUGUAAUGUGGAAUAUGUACAUAUUUUCAAGGAAUGAAUCCUGGAAAUUAUAUACAUUUUCGUAA
Chenopodium quinoa (quinoa) is the source of this 1731-nucleotide long non-coding RNA. RefSeq lists it as uncharacterized. The record is from RefSeq and is a predicted model, not a curated record. The transcript is spliced from 3 exons. Lineage: Eukaryota; Viridiplantae; Streptophyta; Magnoliopsida; Caryophyllales; Amaranthaceae.